This 440-nucleotide ribosomal RNA is filed under the name uncultured bacterium. Its description in RNAcentral is "partial 16S ribosomal RNA". It matches the Rfam family "Bacterial small subunit ribosomal RNA", at positions 338 to 795 of the family's 1533-position model. The record is from RNAcentral.
CCUACGGGAGGCAGCAGUGGGGAAUAUUGCACAAUGGGGGAAACCCUGAUGCAGCGACGCCGCGUGAGUGAAGAAGUAAUUCGUUAUGUAAAGCUCCAUCAGUAGGGAAGAAAAUGACGGUACCUGAGUAAGAAGCCCCGGCUAACUACGUGCCAGCAGCCGCGGUAAUACGUAGGGGGCAAGCGUUAUCCGGAUUUACUGGGCGUAAAGGGAGCGUAGUCGGCAGUGCAAGUCUGUAGUGAAAGGCCGGGGCUCAACCCCCGGACUGCCCUGGAAACUGUACGGCUGGAGUGCAGGAGAGGUAAGUGGAAUUCCUGGUGUAGCGGUGAAAUGCGUAGAUAUUAGGAAGAACACCAGUUGCGAAGGCAGCUUACUAAACUAUAACUGACGUUGAGGCUCGAAAGCGUGGGGAGCAAACAGGAUUAGAUACCCCAGUAGUC